This 69-nucleotide transfer RNA is filed under the name Anabropsis guangxiensis. RNAcentral's name for it is "tRNA-Gln". RNAcentral also lists the same sequence under 2 other names. The record is from RNAcentral. Lineage: Eukaryota; Metazoa; Arthropoda; Insecta; Orthoptera; Anostostomatidae.
UAUAUUUUGGUGUAUGAUGCACAAAAGUUUUUGAUACUUUCAGAAAUAGUUUAAAUCUAUUAAAUAUAA